UAGGGAAUAUUGGUCAAUGGGUGGAAGCCUGAACCAGCCAUGCCGCGUGCAGGAAGACGGCCUUCUGGGUUGUAAACUGCUUUUAUCUGGGGAUAAAAUACCCUUGCGAGGGAGACUGAAGGUACCAGAUGAAUAAGCCACGGCUAACUACGUGCCAGCAGCCGCGGUAAUACGUAGGUGGCAAGCGUUGUCCGGAUUCAUUGGGUUUAAAGGGUGCGUAGGCGGCCAUUUAAGUCAGUGCUGAAAUAUCACAGCUUAACUGUGAGGGUGGCAUUGAUACUGGGUGGCUUGAGUGCUAGCGAGGCAGGCGGAAUUGACGGUGUAGCGGUGAAAUGCUUAGAUAUCGUCAAGAACACCGAUAGUGUAGACAGCUUGCCAGGGAGCAACUGACGCUGAGGCACGAAAGUGUGGGGAUCAAACAG
RNAcentral lists this ribosomal RNA (422 nucleotides) under uncultured bacterium. RNAcentral describes it as "bacterial SSU rRNA". It matches the Rfam family "Bacterial small subunit ribosomal RNA", at positions 355 to 775 of the family's 1533-position model. RNAcentral also lists the same sequence under 1 other name. The record is from RNAcentral.